Molecule: ribosomal RNA, 397 nt
Filed under: uncultured bacterium
Lineage: Bacteria
Description: partial 16S ribosomal RNA
Rfam family: Bacterial small subunit ribosomal RNA
Source: RNAcentral
AUACGUAGGUGACAAGCGUUAUCCGGAUUUACUGGGCGUAAAGGGCGUGUAGGCGGUCUUGCAAGUCAGAAGUGAAAUUCCUGAGCUCAACUCGGGCGCUGCUUCUGAAACUGCAGGACUUGAGUGCUGGAGGGGAUAGCGGAAUUCCUAGUGGAGCGGUAAAAUGCGCAGAUAUUAGGAAGAACACCGGUGGCGAAGGCGGCUAUCUGGACAGUAACUGACGCUGAGGCGCGAAAGCGUGGGGAGCAAACAGGAUUAGAUACCCUGGUAGCCCACGCCGUAAACGAUGAAUACUAGGUGUAGGGGGUAUCGACUCCCUCUGUGCCGCAGUUAACACAAUAAGUAUUCCGCCUGGGGAGUACGGCCGCAUGGUUGAAACUCAAAUGAAUUGGCGGGG